Mastomys coucha (southern multimammate mouse) is the source of this 143-nucleotide small nucleolar RNA. RefSeq annotates it as small nucleolar RNA SNORA48. The record is from RefSeq and is a predicted model, not a curated record. The transcript has a single exon. Lineage: Eukaryota; Metazoa; Chordata; Mammalia; Rodentia; Muridae.
CACACCUGGCAAUGGGCAAAGAGUCAGCUCGUUGGUGGUGGUGGUCUUCCAUCAGUCAGAGGCAGAGCAGUGGCAGUCCUUUGCUCAUCCUAGCUUGAUGCCUGGCUUGGUGACCCAAGCUGUUUUAUAGCUGAGACUCAUAA